This 420-nucleotide ribosomal RNA is filed under the name bacterium. RNAcentral describes it as "partial 16S ribosomal RNA". It matches the Rfam family "Bacterial small subunit ribosomal RNA", at positions 355 to 776 of the family's 1533-position model. The record is from RNAcentral.
UGGGGGAUAUUGCACAAUGGGCGAAAGCCUGAUGCAGCGACGCCGCGUGGGGGAUGAAGGCUUUCGGGUUGUAAACCUCUUUCGCUAUCGAACAAGGCCCGCUUAGGGUUGGUUGAGGGUAGGUGGAGAAGAAGCGCCGGCUAACUACGUGCCAGCAGCCGCGGUAAUACGUAGGGCGCGAGCGUUGUCCGGAAUUAUUGGGCGUAAAGGGCUUGUAGGCGGCUUGUUGCGCCUGCUGUGAAAACGCGGGGCUUAACUUCGCGCGUGCAGUGGGUACGGGCAGGCUUGAGUGUAGUAGGGGUGACUGGAAUUCCAGGUGUAGCGGUGGAAUGCGCAGAUAUCUGGAGGAACACCGAUGGCGAAGGCAGGUCACUGGGCCAUUACUGACGCUGAGGAGCGAAAGCAUGGGUAGCGAACAGG